Molecule: transfer RNA, 81 nt
Filed under: Grosmannia clavigera kw1407
Lineage: Eukaryota; Fungi; Ascomycota; Sordariomycetes; Ophiostomatales; Ophiostomataceae
Description: tRNA-Leu (CAG) (tRNA-Leu-CAG-1 1 to 4)
Rfam family: tRNA
About the family: Transfer RNA (tRNA) molecules are approximately 80 nucleotides in length. Their secondary structure includes four short double-helical elements and three loops (D, anti-codon, and T loops).
Source: RNAcentral
GGCAAGAUGGCCGAGCGGUUAAGGCGCUAGCUUCAGGUGCUAGUGUGGAAACACGCGUGGGUUCGAGUCCCACUCUUGUCA